This 74-nucleotide transfer RNA is filed under the name candidate division WWE3 bacterium. RNAcentral describes it as "tRNA-Met". It matches the Rfam family "tRNA". Rfam says of the family: Transfer RNA (tRNA) molecules are approximately 80 nucleotides in length. Their secondary structure includes four short double-helical elements and three loops (D, anti-codon, and T loops). The record is from RNAcentral. Lineage: Bacteria; candidate division WWE3.
CGCGGGGUGGAGGAGCGGUACCUCGUCAGGCUCAUAAUCUGAAGACCCCGGUUCGAAUCCGGGCCCCGCAACCA